This 457-nucleotide ribosomal RNA is filed under the name uncultured Alphaproteobacteria bacterium. RNAcentral's name for it is "bacterial SSU rRNA". It matches the Rfam family "Bacterial small subunit ribosomal RNA", at positions 8 to 510 of the family's 1533-position model. Lineage: Bacteria; Pseudomonadati; Pseudomonadota; Alphaproteobacteria. The record is from RNAcentral.
AGAGUUUGAUCAUGGCUCAGAACGAACGCCGGCGGCAUGCCUAACACAUGCAAGUCGAACGCCAUCCUCUGGAUGGAGUGGCGCACGGGUGAGUAACGCGUGGGAACCUGCCUUUUUCUGCGGGACAACGAUUGGAAACGAUCGCUAAUACCGCAUACGCCCUACGGGGGAAAGGUCCGCCGGAGAGAGAGGGGCCCGCGUUUGAUUAGCUAGUUGGUGAGGUAACGGCUCACCAAGGCGACGAUCAAUAGCUGGUCUGAGAGGAUGAUCAGCCACACUGGGACUGAGACACGGCCCAGACUCCUACGGGAGGCAGCAGUGGGGAAUAUUGGACAAUGGGGGCAACCCUGAUCCAGCAAUGCCGCGUGUGUGAUGAAGGCCUUAGGGUUGUAAAGCACUUUCACUGGCGAAGAUGAUGACGGUAACCANAGAAGAAGCCCCGGCUAACUUCGUGCCA